UGACCUCGGAUCAGGUAGGCAUACCCGCUGAACUUAAGCAUAUCAAUAACCCGGGAGGAAAGA
Molecule: ribosomal RNA, 63 nt
Filed under: Tuber neoexcavatum
Lineage: Eukaryota; Fungi; Ascomycota; Pezizomycetes; Pezizales; Tuberaceae
Description: partial 28S ribosomal RNA
Source: RNAcentral